CUAUCGAACUGGCCAUACCUGCAAUUUGAAAUUUAUCAGUAGUUUACAAGAGAAAAAGUAGGCUAUUUAACAAGAACUAUACAACCACAACAGGUAACCAUCAUCGCAUUUUAAAUCACAACAAAUCUGCACUUCAAGAAAAUGAGAAUCUUAGUUGUACGAUGCAAUAUAAAACCACCUAUUUCUAAAAACUAAACUUGUAUUUCACAAACAAAGAGUACAAAGGAACAAUACUCAUGGAUCUAAUGUUUUAGGUAACCCAUAUUUCAAUCUGCAAAACGAAUACCAUGAAUAUUCAGAAGAGAGAAUAAUAUUGGCUACAGAUUUUUUCCAGCAAUUUAAGUUUAAAUUCAUUGUACAUCGCGUGCAACACUAAUUAUUCCAAUUCUCUGUUAUGCUAAUGUGGGGAAGAAAAAGAAUAUGAGAACAAAAACCAGCUGUUUUAUCAUGAAAGUUUUGGGGAGAUGCAGUGAUAGA
Molecule: long non-coding RNA, 477 nt
Organism: Populus euphratica (Euphrates poplar)
Lineage: Eukaryota; Viridiplantae; Streptophyta; Magnoliopsida; Malpighiales; Salicaceae
Exons: 2
Source: RefSeq, a predicted model, not a curated record